RNAcentral lists this long non-coding RNA (346 nucleotides) under Vigna radiata. RNAcentral describes it as "long non-coding RNA (VRAD_LNC001898)". Lineage: Eukaryota; Viridiplantae; Streptophyta; Magnoliopsida; Fabales; Fabaceae. The record is from RNAcentral.
UGGUUUGCAAAAUGUUUAAUUUCCCCUAAAAAAUAAAACUCUAAAGAAAACAAAAUAUUUUUUGUGUUUUUUGUGCCCGACAAGGAUUGACCUUGCUCCUACGUAUUCUCAGUUGGACUGAGAAAUCAAGGUUACGUAGUUAUUUAGGAAACCAUUUGGAAAAUUUGUUUGGAGAAUUGUUUGGAAAGUUUGUUUGGAAAAUUUGGAUUUUUGGGAAAGUGAGCCUGACAAGGACUAGCCUUACUCCUACGUAUCUCCACUUUGGAUGGAGAAUCAAGGAUCACGUAGUUCUGGCUGAAAGAUUGAUUGUUUGUUUGUCAAGAUGUUUUUUAGUUUUUAAAGAUUU